Molecule: long non-coding RNA, 461 nt
Organism: Polypterus senegalus (gray bichir)
Lineage: Eukaryota; Metazoa; Chordata; Cladistia; Polypteriformes; Polypteridae
Exons: 3
Source: RefSeq, a predicted model, not a curated record
UUGAUGUCACCCGCCUCUUCCUGCUGGAACUCCUUAUCACCAUAAGUUCCGCCAUCUUGGAGCAGUUGAUUUUGAGACUCUCGUCAGCAAAGAUAUUUUCUUUUAAUUUUCAACGAGUGGCAUUGUAGGCAGGAUUGCAGAACCAUUGCCAAAAGAGAGGAACAGGACACCAGGGACAUUAUGCAAGUGAUGAUGAUGGAAACCCAGGAACUGAAAGAUGAGGACAGGGAACAAUGGACUGUUGGGGCUGUCCCAGACCGGAAAACUGAUAGCUUUCCCACCCUUGGUGUCAUUUCUGGUGCCCGCAUACCUGGACCCUUCUACUCCUGCUGGAAUUCCUUGUCACUUGAAGUUCCACCAUCUUGGAGCAGUCGAUUUUGAGAUUUACGUCUGCAAAGACAUUUUCUUUUCACUUACAACAUGUUCUCUUUCAAUUAUAUGGAGUUUGCCUAUGGGUGCCC